UGGCAAUGAUGUGUAUAGAAUUUCUUCACCUGAAUACAACCGUGUGGCACUCAGAGCUUUUUAACCCUGAGCAGC
Non-coding RNA from Pelobates cultripes (western spadefoot toad), 75 nucleotides. The record is from the annotation of a GenBank genome assembly. Lineage: Eukaryota; Metazoa; Chordata; Amphibia; Anura; Pelobatidae.